GACGAGCGCUGGCGGCGUGCUUAACACAUGCAAGUCGAACGGAAAGGCCCUGCUUUUGUGGGGUGCUCGAGUGGCGAACGGGUGAGUAACACGUGAGUAACCUGCCCUUGACUUUGGGAUAACUUCAGGAGACUGGGGCUAAUACCGGAUAGGAGCUCCUGCUGCAUGGUGGGGGUUGGAAAGUUUCGGCGGUUGGGGAUGGACUCGCGGCUUAUCAGCUUGUUGGUGGGGUAGUGGCUUACCAAGGCUUUGACGGGUAGCCGGCCUGAGAGGGUGACCGGCCACAUUGGGACUGAGAUACGGCCCAGACUCCUACGGGAGGCAGCAGUGGGGAAUAUUGCACAAUGGGCGGAAGCCUGAUGCAGCAACGCCGCGUGCGGGAUGACGGCCUUCGGGUUGUAAACCGCUUUCGCCUGUGACGAAGCGUGAGUGACGGUAAUGGGUAAAGAAGCACCGGCUAACUACGUG
RNAcentral lists this ribosomal RNA (468 nucleotides) under uncultured bacterium. RNAcentral's name for it is "partial 16S ribosomal RNA". It matches the Rfam family "Bacterial small subunit ribosomal RNA", at positions 28 to 507 of the family's 1533-position model. The record is from RNAcentral.